Non-coding RNA from Megalopta genalis, 2565 nucleotides. The record is from RefSeq and is a predicted model, not a curated record. NCBI's taxonomy places the organism in Eukaryota, Metazoa, Arthropoda, Insecta, Hymenoptera, Halictidae.
UACGGUAAAGUGACUUGUGUGCCACUUUCAAAAUAUAUAAACGGCUCAUUUACUUGUGUAUAUUAUACUUCUACAUUUAUAGCUGAUAUUACACAGUUGUGUUUUUAGGAACAUUCUGCAAGCUGAUUCCACGAGACUUCAUCUCGCGGCGUUCGUCCAUCUUCAUCCAACGGUUUGGCGCAUCUUUCCAUGAAAUCGCAGUUCAAAACCGUUACGGCUGACAGGACAUGUUCACACGGUGAUUCACACGUCGAAACGUCAAGAAAUCGUUAGCUCCUCGUCCAACGUGAUCUCCCUCGAGGUCGGCUUCUUCGAAAUCGCACGGUCAUCGAGGCAUCGGACCGCGAUAACGUCGCUCCGGUUUUCCCGAAGAAAGGAUAAAGAAGAGGAAAAGCGAAGAGGAGGACGUGGAGCGUGGUGGAACCGCGACACUCGGUCAGAUCCGAACCGUGCCAAGGGAUUACGCAACAGGAACGGCAGGUUACCGUCUCCGAAUUGUCCGAGAGAGCGGAUGAACGGUGGCGCGUAACAACAACGAUACUUUCACAGCGGAGGGUUCAAGGUUCUUGGAUCGCUUUCAUCCGACGUGGUCGAACGAAUGCUGCCUCGAGCCCGAAUCUUUCGUUGCAACCGUGACACCGCCGAUUUCGCGUUCGCCUCAUGGCCGAUUUCUAUCGAACCCCUUGUUGUCGCCAGUCGAGAAAUCCGCGCGAGGUCUUUCCUCUUCGAAUCGAUCAGCGAAAAGAGCAUCGCGAAAACAAAUUCUAUAUAGACCGAGUCCAUUUUUUCUUUUUCAGUAGCAAAUAAAAAUAUAUAAGUUAAAAAUAAAUAAGGUUACACUAAAUUAAUCGCAAACUACGCGAUAUCUCGUUCAAAAAGAAAACAAAAUAGACUCGGUUUACUUUAAAGAUAAACUUAUAGGGCUGCGAAUGAUCUCGGUAGCUCGACGGGUAGAAGAUUCGUCAUUGUGUCGCGAAUUCCGUGGGGGAUUAUUCGAGGGCCCGGACUCGCGGCACGCCGCGCCAGUCUCGCACGAGAACAAACAUUUCUAGCUGUGAUUUUCCAGGAAGUCGUUUAAUGGUCCACAGACGAACGUGCGUCUGCGAAAACGUAGAAUGACGCCGCGGCUCAUUGCGUUUAAAUAAAAUGUUUUUACUCGUCGCCAUGGGUAAACGAGAAUCCAAUUAACACCGGCGCGCGCCUGAUAAGUAACGCCUGAAAGCAGGCUGUUCGGUUCUCCGGGAAAAUACAAUGUCCACAAUGGCUGCUUAAAGAACUUUACAUUUGCUCUCUCUCUCUCUCUCUCUCUCUCUCUCUCUCUCUCUCUCUCUCUCUCUCUUCCGUUUCGAAAACGAGCAAAACAAUUUUCUGCCCACGUUCACUUUCAAAUUGUUGAAUUAAACAUUUAUUCGCGUCCCUCACUUCUAUUUUUCCCUGCAGCACAGCCCGAACGAAUGCGGUUUCCGCAAAUAUAGACAUCAUAUGAGCGCGUGUAACGCCGGUAAAUCAUAAUUAACCUUUGGUCGAUUACGAUAUUCGUAGUUAAUAUCGCGGCAUCAUUAAAUCGUUUUAAUAGACGACAUCACGUGGACACCGUUCGCGUCGCAUUCUCAAAUCCCUAUCGAAUUAGCAUAGAAACGUGGCAGUGUGAAAUAAUAUUAGCAUAACACGUGGUGUGGCCGGCGGGGGGGGGGGGAGGGCCGGCAGCUAUUCUUACGGAAGAUUCGAUGCGAUCGUUUGAAUAGUUUUGAUCCGUGGAAACGGGAAUUCGCCUCUAAAUCCACGUCAAUUUCAGAUACAAAUUUCAUUAAAUUUUCGAUUUUACGACGAACAGUUUAAAUACAGCGCUGUAAAGUCGCCGAAAGAAUUUCAAGAUGUCGUUGUUUUAGACUUGUUGCAAUAUCGUUGGAAGAGGAAAGAGAUCUUGUCAUUUACAAUUACCACUCGAAGAUCCGUAUAAGUAGUUCAAUCGAUUACGCUCGGCUACGUUUAAACACCUGCGGUUGCCUGCGAUGAAAUCGUUAACGAUGUUCAUUUUUUUCGAAGCUGUUGAUCGAUGUUCGCUCCGUCUUGUACGACAGAUCCGCUGUGUAUUUAUCUUAGACGCGAGCGAACGCAAAAACUUCGUGUUCGACGAUCUCGAGUAGGCUCUAAUGAAUACGUCCGUGCAGGUUUUAUCGUUGCUACGCGUGUAUUCCGUUCGAUCGGCCUAGCUGUCCACGAGAAAACGAGUAACACGGAUCGCCUCGGGAGGGAAUGCUGUCUUCAGAGCCAAAGUGCUGCUGCUGUUCUCCUCAUUUUUUACGCGUGCGCGAAAGAUGCCUGAAAGACCGUCUUUUUAACGCCGUGCAAAGAGACUUCAACGUGGUUAAACAUGCAUUUAAGGACGCAGAUAUUUGUGUAGAUCGCGAUCAUUUCCGAGGCGUUCUUCUUUCUGUUCUCAUGCCUUCCGGGCGCUCUCUCGACGAAGCGCAUUCAAUUAACGCUGGAACUAUCGAGCUCUAAACGCGGCUAUAAUGUAUAUUGUUUUAUAACAACGACAACAUUCGACUUGUUUAAACUUUC